RNAcentral lists this long non-coding RNA (252 nucleotides) under Mytilus galloprovincialis (Mediterranean mussel). The record is from RNAcentral. Lineage: Eukaryota; Metazoa; Mollusca; Bivalvia; Mytilida; Mytilidae.
GAAAUAAUUUAAUUUCGGAUGUAACGCGUCUUCUGAUUGGCUGACGUCGUUUUGUUUAUCAUAUCAUAGCCACAAUUUUGUCAUGUGACCAUGACGUCAUCAAAGUUUUUUCAUGAUAUACGCCGGUUUAAAAUGGAAAUUAGAAUUAAAUUAUAAGAAAUAAUUGUAAUAUUUUGUCAGUCUAUUCGAAAUAACAUAAAAAAUGUGGUGCACACUGUUAAAUAACCCGCUACGCGCGUUAUUCAGUGUGCA